RNAcentral lists this long non-coding RNA (1551 nucleotides) under Takifugu rubripes (torafugu). RNAcentral's name for it is "lncRNA (ENSTRUG00000027254.1)". Lineage: Eukaryota; Metazoa; Chordata; Actinopteri; Tetraodontiformes; Tetraodontidae. The record is from RNAcentral.
AUGGGAGGAAUUAAUGUACACGGACAGGACUUAGUCUUCAUUAUUACAGAGAAGGGGGGGAGAGGGGGGGAGAGAGGGGGAGAGAGAGGGGAGAGAGAGGGGAGGGGGAGAGAGGGGGAGGGGGGGGGGAGAGAGGGAAAGAGGAGAGGGGGAGAGAGAGAGAGGAGAGGGGGAGAGAGAGAGAGGAGAGGGGGAGAGAGGAGAGGGGGAGAGAGGGAAAGAGGAGAGGGGGAGAGAGAGAGGAGAGGGGGAGAGAGGAGAGGGGGAGAGAGGGAAAGAGGAGAGGGGGAGAGAGAGAGAGGAGAGGGGGAGAGGGGGAGAGAGGAGAGGGGGAGAGAGGGAAAGAGGAGAGGGGGAGAGAGAGAGGGAGAGAGGGGGAGAGAGAGGAGAGGGGAGAGAGGGAAAGAGGAGAGGGGGAGAGAGAGAGGGGAGAGGGGGGAGAGAGGAGAGGGGAAAGGGAAAAGAGAGAGGGAGAGAGGGGGAGAGAGGGGGAGAGGGGGAGAGAGGGAAAGAGGAGAGGGGGAGAGAGAGAGGGGAGAGGGAGGAGAGAGGAGAGGGGGAGAGAGGGAAGAGGAGGGGGGAGAGGGAGAGAGAGAGGGGAGAGGGGAGAGAGGGGGAGAGAGGGGGAGAGAGAGGGGAGGGGGAGAGAGGGGAGGGGGGGAGGGGAGAGAGGGAAGAGGAGAGGGGGAGGAGAGGAGAGAGGAGAGGGGAGAGAGGAGAGGGGGAGAGAGGGAGGGAGAGGGGGGAGAGAGAGAGGGAGAGAGGGGAGAGGAGAGGGGGAGAGAGGAGGGGGAGAGAGGGAAAGAGGAGAGGGGAGAGAGCGAGAGGGAGAGGGGAGAGAGGGGGAGAGAGGAGAGGGGAGAGAGGGAAGAGGAGAGGAGAGAGGAGAGGGAGAGGGAGAGGAGAGGAGAGGAGAGGGGAGAGGGGGAGAGAGGAGAGGGGAGAGAGGGAGGGGAGGGGGGGAGAGAGGAGAGGGGGAGAGAGAGGGGAGGGGGGAGAGAGGGGGAGGGGAGAGAGAGAGGAGGGGGAGAGAGGGAAAGAGGAGAGGGGAGAGAGAGAGGGGAGAGAGGGGAGAGAGAGGAGGAGAGGGGGAGAGAGGGAAAGAGGAGAGGGGGAGAGAGGAGAGAGGAGAGGGGAGAGGAGAGGAGAGGGAGAGAGGAGAGGGGGAGAGAGAGAGGGGAGAGAGAGGGGGAGAGAGAGGAGAGGGGGGAGAGAGGAAAGAGGAGAGGGGGAGAGAGAGAGAGGAGGGAGAGGGGGAGAGAGAGAGAAGUAGAGGGGGAGAGAGAGAGAAGUAGAGGGGGAGAGAGAGAGAGGAGAGGGGGAGAGAGGAGAGGGGAGAGGAGAGAGAGAGAGGAGAGGGGAGAGAGGAGAGGGGGAGAGAGAGAGAGGAGAGGGGGAGGAGAGAGGGAAAGAGGAGAGGGGGAGAGGGGGAGAGAGGAGAGGGGGAGAGAGAGAGAGGAGAGGGGGAGAGGGGGAGAGAGGAGAGGGGCAGAGAGGAGAGGGGGAGAGAGAGAGGGAGAGAGAGGGGGAGAGAGAGGAGAGGGGAGAUAG